RNAcentral lists this transfer RNA (69 nucleotides) under Marmota monax (woodchuck). It matches the Rfam family "tRNA". From Rfam's summary of the family: Transfer RNA (tRNA) molecules are approximately 80 nucleotides in length. Their secondary structure includes four short double-helical elements and three loops (D, anti-codon, and T loops). Lineage: Eukaryota; Metazoa; Chordata; Mammalia; Rodentia; Sciuridae. The record is from Rfam by way of RNAcentral.
GGGGUUGUGGCUCAGUGGUAGAGCACGUGCCUCUCAUGUGUGAGGCACUGGGUUCAAUCCUCAACACCA